UUUGCAAGAGACAAUAUAGGCAGUUUAUUAAUAUUUUUUAUUUUUCUUCCUAUUUGCAUGCCUCCUGCCGCACGAGCUCGCCGACCUACGCGUCGAUCCGGUUUUAAGUGGCAAGCGGGAUAAGGGAUGAAUCUAGUACACCGCAUACCAUCCGACCGAUUUCCCGAAGCGGUAGCACACCUCACUAGUCGAGGGGGUUUCCCCUGCGGUAAGUAUUGAUACAUCAUAGCGAUCGGUUUGCAAGAGACAAUGUAGGCAGUUUAUUAAUUUUUUUUUUCUUCCUAUUUGCAUGCCUCCUGCCGCACGAGCUCGCCGACCUACGCGUCGAUCCGGUUUUAAGUGGCAAGCGGGAUAAGGGAUAGAUCUAGUACACCGCAUACCAUCCGACCGAUUUCCCGAAGCGGUAGCACACCUCACUAGUCGAGGGGGUUUCCCCUGCGGUAAGUAUUGAUACAUCAUAGCGAUCGGUUUGCAAGAGACAAUGUAGGCAGUUUAUUAAUAUUUUUUAUUUUUCUUCCUAUUUGCAUGCCUCUUGCCGCACGAGCUCACCGACCUACGCGUCGAUCCGGAUUUAAGUGGCAGUGGGAAAAGGAAUCUACAACGCCAACCAUCCGACAGUGUUCACGAUAAGAAAGGAAACGUCUCUUAUCGUGGGGUCUCCCCUGCGGUAAGUUAUUUCACAUCACCAGUACAAGUCGGUAACAAAAUUUGUAAACUUAAAUGUUUCUUUUUUUUUGCAUGUUCCCUACCGCAUGAGUUCGUGCUACAUGUUGGAAUCACACGCGAAAUGAUAGAGAAUCGUUUUUCAGUGCACAUGCCACAACACACUAUCGGUAUUCGUUUUCCUUCAUCUAACUGUAAGAAACAGUCACUGCGCAACAUCCUACGAUAGCCAAGCAUAUAGACGAAACAUUAAUGUUGUAUCAUGCUAACCCGUGACAGGCAAGUGCUCAGUAACUCACGCACGUCCUUCAACGCACACAUCAUGAAACAUCUGGUGAAUGAGAUUGCUGAGCAAAACACUCACCAAACGGAAUAGAAUGGAUGAGUUUAUUUUAUGCAUCAUGUACCCCCCCCUCCCCUCCCCCCCUCCCUUUUUGCCUUAUAAUGUGACCAGUGCCUUAUUUUUUUUUCUUUUGUUUUAUGUUAGCAUAGGAUUAGUAUUAGUAUUAGUUUGGUUUAAUUAGAUAUAAGAUUUUAUUGUGCUAAUAUACGCAUGGACUAUUGAAACAUAUAAUUAUGUGUUUGUUGAGCAACACCAUUUGGGUAAAAAAAUAAUAAUUUACGUAUACUCGUGAGGAAGCACGCACUUUGAGUAAUAAUUAACAUUUCUUCUUGGUCGCGAUCGUCCGAUGUUCUCCGCUGGUUCAGCGGAUCAAUGGUCAAUUCAAGUGGUGAGGUGAGCGUGUCACUAUGGUCCACGUAACUAUAUAUUAACAACAUCUUGGAGUAUUAUUAAGGGCCAUGGUUCCGUUAUAGUUAAAACCACGCAACAAGCAUAAGGAAACUGUAAUUGAAAUUUGAAUCAGUUAACAAAUUAUCUAAUGGAUCCGAUAAUGAAGCUGAUUUGGAAAUGUGUACACACUCAUGCACACAAUCGUGACACUAUCGAAAGUGUAUAUUGCACUAUAACGUUAUUUACAUGUUAAAAUGAUUCAUUAUACAAACACAUAUAUAAUUAUUGCAUCAAAUAUACUACUCAUUUUUUUAACUGAAAUUGUAUAAAUAUAUCGCAUUACUCACCAAUUGAUAGCCUAUUUGUUUUUCUUUCGUUUGGCAUUGGGGUGUAAUAGCCAUAUUUGGGAUAUGUAAUGUAAUCAUAUUUUUUAUUCUACUGGGUUUGGUCGGUUCGAUCGGUAACAAGAUAGGAACAUUAAAAUAGGUGCACAUAAUAAUAUGCACGCACCACUAACAAAUACUUUUACUAGACCCGUUCCAAACAGAGUCCAGUGUAUGUUUAGUACACCUUGUAUAUUGUUCAUUUGAAUCUGAAAAUUUGAAUAAGAAACAAAGAUAUUAGCAUUCUUUAUUCAUAUUCAUAUUCAUAUUCAAAUUUAUUUGUCUACCUUUUGGUUACACAAAUACUUAAAUAAUACUUAUUACCUAUGUUCCUAACCUAACAAAAAUUAACACAAAUUAUCUAAAAUUUGAGAAAAUUUUUUUU
Anopheles gambiae (African malaria mosquito) is the source of this 2164-nucleotide long non-coding RNA. RefSeq lists it as uncharacterized. The record is from RefSeq and is a predicted model, not a curated record. Lineage: Eukaryota; Metazoa; Arthropoda; Insecta; Diptera; Culicidae. The transcript is spliced from 2 exons.